GCGAACAAGUACCGUGAGGGAAAGGUGAAAAGCACCCCGAUGAGGGGAGUGAAACAGUACCUGAAACCGAAUGCUUACAAUCAGUUGGAGGGUCCUUGAGGCCUGACAGCGUACCUCUUGUAUAAUGGGUCAGUGACUUAAUCUAUCAAGCGAGCUUAAGCCGUUAGGUGUAGGCGCAGCGAAAGCGAGUCUGAACAGGGCGACUGAGUUUGAUGGAUUAGACCCGAAACCCGGCGAUCUAGGCAUGACCAGGCUGAAGGUGCGGUAACACGCACUGGAGGGCCGAACCGUUUAAUGUUGAAAAAUUAUCGGAUGAGUUGUGUUUAGGGGUGAAAGGCCAAUCAAGCCGGGAAAUAGCUGGUUCUCCGCGAAAUCUAUUUAGGUAGAGCGUCGGAUGUUUACCUGUGGGGGUAGAGCACUGGAUGGGCUAGGGGGUCGCGAGAUCUACCAAACCUAACCAAACUCCGAAUACCACAGAGUUAGUCCGGCAGACAGACGGCGGGUGCUAAGGUCCGUCGUCAAAAGGGAAACAGCCCUAACCUACAGCUAAGGUCCCCAAAUCGUAUCUAAGUGGGAAAGCAUGUGGGAUUUCCAAAACAACCAGGAGGUUGGCUUAGAAGCAGCCAUCCUUUAAAGAAAGCGUAACAGCUCACUGGUCUAAAUAAGAGAUCCUGCGGCGAAAAUGUAACGGGGCUCAAGAUACGUACCGAAGCUUAGGGUGUGCAUUUAUGCACGCGGUAGCGGAGCGUUCCGUAAGCCUGUGAAGCGGGAGGGUAACCGACCGUGGAGGUAUCGGAAGUGAGAAUGCUGACAUGAGUAGCGAUAAAGAGGGUGAGAUGCCCUCUCGCCGAAAUCCCAAGGGUUCCUGCUUAAAGCUAAUCUGAGCAGGGUGAGCCGGCCCCUAAGACGAGCCCGAAGGGGGUAGUCGAUGGGAACCACGUUAAUAUUCGUGGGCCUGGAGGUGUGUGACGGAUGGCGUAAGUUGUCAGGCCUUAUUGGAUUGGUCUGGCUUCGAAGUUGUCCCAGGAAAUAGCCCCUCCGUAUAGACCGUACCCUAAACCGACACAGGUGGGAUGGUAGAGUAUACCAAGGCGCUUGAGAGAAGUGUACUGAAGGAACUCGGCAAAUUACCUCCGUAACUUCGGGAGAAGGAGGCCCCACAUAUGGGCAACCAUGUGUGGGGGGCACAAGCCAGGGGGUAGCGACUGUUUAGCAAAAACACAGGACUCUGCUAAGUCGGCUUCAAGACGACGUAUAGGGUCUGACGCCUGCCCGGUGCUGGAAGGUUAAGAGGAGGAGUGCAAGCUCUGAAUUGAAGCCCCAGUAAACGGCGGCCGUAACUAUAACGGUCCUAAGGUAGCGAAAUUCCUUGUCGGGUAAGUUCCGACCUGCACGAAUGGCGUAACGACUUCCCCACUGUCUCCAGUACAUGCUCAGCGAAAUUGAAUUCUCCGUGAAGAUGCGGAGUACCCGCGGUUAGACGGAAAGACCCCGUGCACCUUUACUGCAGCUUCAGAGUGGCAUUAGGAAAGAACUGUGUAGCAUAGGUGGGAGGCUUUGAAGCGACGGCGCCAGCUGUCGUGGAGCCAUAGGUGAAAUACCACCCUGUUGUUUUCUGAUGUCUAACCACGCACCGUUAUCCGGUGCUGGGACCCUCUGUGGCGGGUAGUUUGACUGGGGCGGUCGCCUCCUAAAAAGUAACGGAGGCGUGCAAAGGUUCCCUCAGGCUGGUUGGAAAUCAGUCGUAGAGUGUAAAGGCAUAAGGGAGCUUGACUGCAAGACCUACAAGUCGAGCAGAGACGAAAGUCGGCCUUAGUGAUCCGACAGUGCCGAGUGGAAGGGCUGUCGCUCAACGGAUAAAAGUUA
This 1866-nucleotide ribosomal RNA is filed under the name Palmaria hecatensis. RNAcentral describes it as "bacterial LSU rRNA". It matches the Rfam family "Bacterial large subunit ribosomal RNA", at positions 490 to 2465 of the family's 2925-position model. The record is from RNAcentral. Lineage: Eukaryota; Rhodophyta; Florideophyceae; Palmariales; Palmariaceae.